Molecule: long non-coding RNA, 839 nt
Organism: Triticum aestivum (bread wheat)
Lineage: Eukaryota; Viridiplantae; Streptophyta; Magnoliopsida; Poales; Poaceae
Exons: 2
Source: RefSeq, a predicted model, not a curated record
GUCCCUACAUUAAUUAUGAACAUACCCAAAUUAUGUACACAUAUUUGUUAAGAGUUCGAAAUCAACUACUCCAUUGCCAAUAAUUAAUAGGUUGCAUCCACAUCCAUUGCCAACAACUUUAUACAAGAUCUAAAUGUGCAAACAUUAGAUUAUAACAUAUCCAAGUCAUAUAUCUCUCACUUAGUUAAAAGAGUCCAAUUAAGCGAUUGAUGAGCGAAUGGAGUCUAAAAGCUUCACUAUAACCACUAUAUAUAGAGACUGAGUGGCACAGAAGUCCUCCAUAAACACAUACCAAUAGUGCUACACAACAUAGAUCAUGAACAACACAAAAGUAGCUGGAGUGUUAUGCUUCCUAGUCCUUGUGGCUCUCUCUUCUUGUUCGCUCCAUGCACGAGCAGCCAACGACAUAGAUCACUGCCUCCUUGAUAAAAAAAAGGUGAUGCGAGACUGUUGGCAUCACAUCGAAAAGAAACUUGGUGACCAGUACCCGCCACUCCGUAGCGCAUGUUGCAAUACAAUAAGAGAUGCAAAAGACAUCCACUGCGUCUGUGAUCGGUUCACCGCUCACGAACUGACUUUGCUCAGUCUAGCCAAGUUUGCCAUGGCUACACAUGUAUGCGGCAAUGGGUUGCACACAUGCACUCACUGUGCAGGUUAUCAUGUUCCAGAAAUAAAGCUACCACCUCCACCCGCGGCAAGUACCUAGGCCUUAAGUGUAAGACCAUUUUCAUAAUGGAGAAAUAAUUAAAUAAAGCAAAGAAUGAUGUCAGAUGAAUGGCAUUUGCUGUGUAUUUGACCUUUUUUGUGUGUAUUAAAAAAAAUUGGGCAUAGCCUCGUCA